RNAcentral lists this ribosomal RNA (159 nucleotides) under Mycosphaerella bixae. RNAcentral describes it as "5.8S ribosomal RNA". The stretch from base 1 to 91 matches the Rfam family "5.8S ribosomal RNA", at positions 64 to 154 of the family's 154-position model. Rfam says of the family: 5.8S ribosomal RNA (5.8S rRNA) is a component of the large subunit of the eukaryotic ribosome. Lineage: Eukaryota; Fungi; Ascomycota; Dothideomycetes; Mycosphaerellales; Mycosphaerellaceae. The record is from RNAcentral.
AAUGUGAAUUGCAGAAUUCAGUGAAUCAUCGAAUCUUUGAACGCACAUUGCGCCCUUUGGUAUUCCGAAGGGCAUGCCUGUUCGAGCGUCAUUUCACCACUCAAGCCUGGCUUGGUAUUGGGCGUCGCGGCUCCGCGCGCCUCAAAGUCUCCGGCUGAG